UUGUCCUACCUGCUUCUACCUCUCACGCUGCUGUUCAGUGUUGUACUCCAGAGUAGGCACAGACUGCAGCUGCUGUUCAGGCAGCCGCCUGAGUUGAUUGGCUGGACUUGGCACAGCAUCAGACUUUUUACCUUAUUCUUUCUCACUGUGGUUGUCUGUACCCUCAAGAAGAACAUAAAGGACAGGGUCAUGCCCGGCAUCCUGAUGUUGCAGUGGCUGUCGACACAAUUUGAGGCUGCAGGAGGUCAGAAGCACCCAUCACCUCAAAACAAGCUUUCCUCACAUUCAGAAGAUGUCAGGAGCGGGAGCCUGCAAAGACUAAUAAACUCUCUAUUUCCAGAUUACAAGAAUCCAAAGUUACAAUUUAUGUCGAAAGCUGACCAACC
Molecule: long non-coding RNA, 386 nt
Organism: Amphiprion ocellaris (clown anemonefish)
Lineage: Eukaryota; Metazoa; Chordata; Actinopteri; Pomacentridae
Source: Ensembl